This 751-nucleotide non-coding RNA is filed under the name Lema sp. LEM01. The record is from RNAcentral. Lineage: Eukaryota; Metazoa; Arthropoda; Insecta; Coleoptera; Chrysomelidae.
GCUAGAAAAUUGGGUAUUUUCCCAUCCUAUAUGUGAAUUUUAGUGAAUUUAAAAUUUAAAAAAUUUAAAAUUUAAUUAGCAGUAGAUAAUUUUAAAAAAUUUAGUAAUUUAAGAAUUAGUGAUUAUUUUAAAUAUUAACAAAGUUUGUGCCAGCAGUUGCGGUUAUACAAAUGAUAUAAUUCAAUUUUUUUAAUAUAAAUAGAUUUGUUUAUAAAAUUUUAUAAUAAGAAUUUUUAAGUGAAAUUUUAAUUUUUAUGUAAAAUUAAAUAUUUAAUAUGAUUUUUGUAAGUUUAAAUGAUAAACUAGGAUUAGAUACCCUAUUAUUUUAAAUAUAAAUUUAAAUAUUAAAUUAGUAUUAGUUAUGUUCUUGAAAAUUAAAAGAUUUGGCGGUAUUUUAGACUUUUCAGAGGAACUUGUCUUGUAAUUGAUAAUCCACGAUUUAAAUUACUUUUUUUUUAGUUUAUAUAUCGUUGUUAUUGAAAAUUUUAUAAAAUUUAUAAUUUUCAGAAUUUUAAAUUAAAAAAUAAAUCAGAUCAAGAUGUAGUUUAUAAAAAAGUAAUGAUGAGUUACAUUGAUUAAUAAUAUGGGAUAUUUAUUUUUAUAGUAAAUUGAAUUUGGAUUUGAAAGUAAUUUAAAUUAAUUAAUUUAAAUGAUUUAGCUCUAAAAUAUGUACAUAUCGCCCGUCGCUUUCAUUAUAAAAUGAAAUAAGUCGUAACAAAGUAGAUUUAUUGGAAAAUGAAUCUAGAAUAAU